This 458-nucleotide ribosomal RNA is filed under the name uncultured bacterium. RNAcentral describes it as "partial 16S ribosomal RNA". It matches the Rfam family "Bacterial small subunit ribosomal RNA", at positions 338 to 795 of the family's 1533-position model. The record is from RNAcentral.
CCUACGGGUGGCAGCAGUGGGGAAUAUUGCACAAUGGGGGAAACCCUGAUGCAGCGACGCCGCGUGAGUGAAGAAGUAAUUCGUUACGUAAAGCUCUAUCAGCAGGGAAGAAAUACUGACCUUACGGUCAGCAGACGGUACCUGAGUAAGAAGCCCCGGCUAACUACGUGCCAGCAGCCGCGGUAAUACGUAGGGGGCAAGCGUUAUCCGGAUUUACUGGGUGUAAAGGGAGCGUAGACGGUGCGCCAAGUCUGGAGGGAAAUGCCGCAGCUUAACUGCGGAACUGCUUUGGAAACUGGCGAACUAGAGUGCGGGAGGGGUAAGCGGAAUUCCUAGUGUAGCGGUGAAAUGCGUAGAUAUUAGGAGGAACGCCGGUGGCGAAGGCGGCUUACUGGACCGUAACUGACGUUGAGGCUCGAAAGCGUGGGGAGCAAACAGGAUUAGAUACCCGGGUAGUC